AGAGUGAACGCUGGCGGCAGGCCUAACACAUGCAAGUCGAGCGGCAGCACAGUCGUAGCAAUACGAUGGGUGGCGAGCGGCGGACGGGUGAGGAAUGCAUCGGAAUCUACCUUGUUGUGGGGGAUAACGUAGGGAAACUUACGCUAAUACCGCAUGAGACCGUAAGGUGAAAGCGGGGGACCUGUGAGGGCCUCGCGCGACAAGAUGAGCCGAUGCCGGAUUAGCUAGUUGGUGGGUAAAGCCCAACAAGGCGACGAUCCGUAGCUGGUCUGAGAGGAUGAUCAGCCACACGUGGAACUGAGACACGGUCCAGACUCCGUACGGGAGCAGCGAGGUGGGAAUACGUUGGACAAGU
RNAcentral lists this ribosomal RNA (355 nucleotides) under uncultured soil bacterium. RNAcentral describes it as "bacterial SSU rRNA". It matches the Rfam family "Bacterial small subunit ribosomal RNA", at positions 26 to 373 of the family's 1533-position model. The record is from RNAcentral.